RNAcentral lists this ribosomal RNA (103 nucleotides) under Laurencia cf. perforata. RNAcentral describes it as "partial 18S ribosomal RNA". The record is from RNAcentral. Lineage: Eukaryota; Rhodophyta; Florideophyceae; Ceramiales; Rhodomelaceae.
GUUUCCGUAGUGGAACCUGCUGACCCGACUCGCAACUUUAAGCCAUAUAAGAUCCCAAUAGGAAAUCAGAUUACCGUAGUGGAACCCUGCGGAAGGAUCAUUG